GAUGAACGCUGGCGGCGUGCCUAAUACAUGCAAGUCGAACGAAACUUCUUUAUCACCGAGUGCUUGCACUCACCGAUAAAGAGUUGAGUGGCGAACGGGUGAGUAACACGUGGGCAACCUGCCCAAAAGAGGGGGAUAACACUUGGAAACAGGUGCUAAUACCGCAUAACCAUAGUUACCGCAUGGUAACUAUGUAAAAGGUGGCUAUACUACCGCUUUUGGAUGGGCCCGCGGCGCAUUAGCUAGUUGGUAGGGUAAAGGCUUACCAAGGCAAUGAUGCGUAGCCGAAGUGAGAGGUUGAUCGGCGACAUUGGGACUGAGACACGGCCCAAACUCCUACGGGAGGCAGCAGUAGGGAAUCUUCCACAAUGUGCGAAAGCCUGAUGGAGCAACGCCGCGUGGGUGAAGAAGGUCUUCGGAUCGUAAAACCCUGUUGUUAGAGAAGAAAGUGCGUGAGAGUAACUGUUCACGUUUCGACGGUAUCUAACCAGAAAGCCACUGCUAACUACGUG
RNAcentral lists this ribosomal RNA (512 nucleotides) under uncultured bacterium. RNAcentral describes it as "partial 16S ribosomal RNA". It matches the Rfam family "Bacterial small subunit ribosomal RNA", at positions 28 to 507 of the family's 1533-position model. The record is from RNAcentral.